GGCCCUUCCUCCCCUCCUGGCUGCAAAGCCACCCCCUCCCCCACGGUUACACACACUUCACACACACCCCACACCCCCACCCCACCCCCAGGACCUGUCCUCUGUCCUGGCUGCAAAGCCCCCGCACCCCAACUUGACUUGAGUCUCAUCUGAAUCAGAAUUGUGGCAGCAGCUUCUGACCUCACCUGGGAUUCCAGCCAGGCCAGGGGGCCAUGGAGGCAGCAGAGGAAGUUAGGCUGCUGAGCCGGAGGAGGAGUGACUGACAGGCAGCCCCACAGACGAGGCCUGACGAGUUCUGUGCAGCCCAGGGAGUGGGGAGCCCUCAGCACAGAGCCCCGGAUGGACACUGCAUGGGGGCAGGGCCGCUCUGUGAGCUCGCUGCAGGCCUCCUGGGGUGGACGUCUAGCCAGGGCCCGUCAGGGGCCAGACACUUGCUCCAGAUCGUGAAGAAUCUCACAAUGGCGGCAGAGCACUGGACCAGCCCCAGCGCCUCCCGGGGUCCUAGGUGUGAAUGGACCUGAUUGCCAUCCCGACUUUAAGGCAGUGCCCCCGGGACUCAGAGGCUGAGUUGCUGACCCAGGACACACAGUGGGUUCGGGGCAGGGCUGGCGCCCACCACCAGCACGCGCUUGACGCUCACCUUGGAGACCCGUACUUUGGCUGAGGUUCACCCUUGCAGUCACAAACCUGGGCAUCAGAUCAGAUCAGUCGCUCAGUCGUGUCUGACUCUUUGCGACCCCAUGAAUCGCAGCACACCAGGCCUCCCUGUCCAUCACCAACU
Molecule: long non-coding RNA, 781 nt
Filed under: Bos grunniens (domestic yak)
Lineage: Eukaryota; Metazoa; Chordata; Mammalia; Artiodactyla; Bovidae
Description: lncRNA (ENSBGRG00000022360.1)
Source: RNAcentral